UAAUUGAAGAGUUUGAUCAUGGCUCAGAUUGAACGCUGGCGGCAGGCCUAACACAUGCAAGUCGAGCGGUAACAGGGGAAGCUUGCUUCUCGCUGACGAGCGGCGGACGGGUGAGUAAUGUAUGGGGAUCUGCCCGAUAGAGGGGGAUAACCACUGGAAACGGUGGCUAAUACCGCAUAAUCUCUUAGGAGCAAAGCAGGGGA
Molecule: ribosomal RNA, 203 nt
Filed under: Providencia rettgeri
Lineage: Bacteria; Pseudomonadati; Pseudomonadota; Gammaproteobacteria; Enterobacterales; Morganellaceae
Description: partial 16S ribosomal RNA
Rfam family: Bacterial small subunit ribosomal RNA
Source: RNAcentral